CAAAGAUUACGCCAUGCAAGUGAAAGUAUAUGCAUAUUUUAUAUGUAGAAACUGCGAACGGCUCAUUAAAACAGUUAUAAUCUACUUGACAUUUUUUCUAUAAGGAUAACUACGGAAAAGCUGUAGCUAAUACUUGCUUUAGCACUCUUGAUUCAUUUCUUGAGUGUGUACUUGUUAAGCCUUUUAAGAAAAAAGUUAUUAACUUAAGGAAUUAUAACAAAGAAGCGACACGUAAUGGAUCCGUCCAUUUUUAGUGUGUAUCAAUCGAGUUUCUGACCUAUCAGCUUUUGAUGUUAGGGUAUUGGCCUAACAUGGCUAUGACGGGUAACGGGGAAUUAGAGUUCGAUUCCGGAGAGGGAGCCUGAGAAAUAGCUACCACAUCUAAGGAAGGCAGCAGGCGCGUAAAUUACCCAAUUCUAAAGAAGAGAGGUAGUGACAAGAAAUAACAAUACAAGGCCAAUCUGGCUUUGUAAUUGGAAUGAUGGGAAUUUAAAACCUUCCCAAAACUCAAUUGGAGGGCAAGUCUGGUGCCAGCAGCCGCGGUAAUUCCAGCUCCAAUAGCGUAUAUUAAAAUUGUUGCAGUUAAAACGCUCGUAGUUGAAUUUCAAAGAAUCGAUAUUUUAAGCAACGCUUCUAGCUUAAUCCACAUAACUGAUACUUCGUAUCGACUUUGUGCGCAUUUUGCUAUUAUGUGUUCUUUUAAUUAAAAUGAUUCUUUUUAAGGACUUUCUUUGCUUCGGUUUGGAAUCCCUUGUUACUUUGAGUAAAUUAGAGUGUUCAAAGCAAACAGAUAUAGCAUUGCGCGUUUGAAUACUACAGCAUGGAAUAACAAAAUUGAACAAGUCAGAAUUUUGUUCUUUUUUCUUAUUUUGGCUUAGUUACGAUUAAUAGGAGUAGCUUGGGGGCAUUUGUAUUCAGAUGUCAGAGGUGAAAUUCUUAGAUUUUCUGGAGACAAACAACUGCGAAAGCAUUUGCCUAAAAUACUUCCAUUAAUCAAGAACGAAAGUUAAGGGAGUGAAGACGAUCAGAUACCGUCGUAAUCUUAACCAUAAACUAUGCCGACUAGGCUUUGGAUGAAAGAUUUUAAAAUAAGAAUUUUCUCUUCGGAGUUUAUUCUUAGAUUGCUUCCUUCAGUGCCUUAUGAGAAAUCAAAGUCUUUGGGUUCUGGGGCGAGUAUUCGCGCAAGCGAGAAAGUUAAAAGAAUUGACGGAAGGGCACCACCAGGCGUGGAGCUUGCGGCUUAAUUUGACUCAACACGGGAAAACUCACUAGUUUAAGACAAGAGUAGGAUUGACAGAUUAAUAGCUCUUUCUUGAUUUCUUGGAUGGUGAUGCAUGGCCGUUUUUAGUUCGUGAAUAUGAUUUGUCUGGUUAAUUCCGAUAACGAACGAGAUCUUAACCUGCUAAUUAGCGGCAAAUACGAUAUAUUCUUACGUGGGACUGAAUUCGGUUGAUUUGCUUACUUUGAAGAAAAUAUUGGGAUACGUAACAGUUUCCCUUUCCCUUUUCUACUUAGUUCGCUUUUCAUACUGUUUCUUUUUCGCGUAAGAAUGUAUUU
This 1557-nucleotide ribosomal RNA is filed under the name Plasmodium vivax (malaria parasite P. vivax). RNAcentral's name for it is "SSU rRNA". It matches the Rfam family "Eukaryotic small subunit ribosomal RNA", at positions 38 to 1429 of the family's 1831-position model. Lineage: Eukaryota; Apicomplexa; Aconoidasida; Haemosporida; Plasmodiidae. The record is from RNAcentral.